UACGAAGGGGGCUAGCGUUGCUCGGAAUUACUGGGCGUAAAGGGCGCGUAGGCGGCACUGUUAGUCAGGCGUGAAAUUCCUGGGCUCAACCUGGGGACUGCGCUUGAUACGGCAGAGCUUGAGGAUGGAAGAGGGUCGCGGAAUUCCCAGUGUAGAGGUGAAAUUCGUAGAUAUUGGGAAGAACACCGGUGGCGAAGGCGGCGACCUGGUCCAUUACUGACGCUGAGGUGCGAAAGCGUGGGGAGCAAACAGG
This 253-nucleotide ribosomal RNA is filed under the name uncultured bacterium. RNAcentral's name for it is "partial 16S ribosomal RNA". It matches the Rfam family "Bacterial small subunit ribosomal RNA", at positions 524 to 776 of the family's 1533-position model. The record is from RNAcentral.